GUUUGGCGUCGGCAUUGUUUGUGAUUUCUCAUCUAUUCUCGCUUUGAGUCGUUGUUUACCGAACUUCUUUCAUCUUUUGUCUUGUUCUAUGCCGACGUUGUUUGAAGGUUCCCGAUCGUCGCUGCAUUGAUUUGCCUUUUUGGUUCAUGACCAUAGGUCUUUUCGAGGUCAUUUGAGUUUGAUGCUUCCUCCUGGUGCUUGAGCUUGGGGACCUGAACUUCUUGUUACUUUGAGGAAGUCGAUUUCUCCUCGGCCUGAGCUGAGUUUCCUUUUAUUGACUGAGGGUUUCUUGAUAGGAGCAUCCUUCCUCAUUGAGAUGAGGUCCCUUGUGUCUUUGAUGUAGAUUGUUUUUCACUUAUCGCUGGUG
This 367-nucleotide long non-coding RNA is filed under the name Elaeis guineensis (African oil palm). RNAcentral's name for it is "long non-coding RNA (EGUI_LNC071141)". Lineage: Eukaryota; Viridiplantae; Streptophyta; Magnoliopsida; Arecales; Arecaceae. The record is from RNAcentral.